GGUAGUGUGGCCGAGUUUAGGUGCCGAGCUGUAAACUCGGAUACAGCGGCUAGUCCGCUUGCUGCC
Molecule: transfer RNA, 66 nt
Filed under: Kolekanos plumicauda
Lineage: Eukaryota; Metazoa; Chordata; Lepidosauria; Squamata; Gekkonidae
Description: tRNA-Tyr
Source: RNAcentral